CACACACACACACACACACACACACACACACACACACACACGUUUCCAUAGAGAGAGGUUCCACUUUGCAUUAGCAGCUCAUGCUUCAGCGCUCUGCGAGUGUUUAUAGCCCUGUGACUUUAACACUUCAUGACUGAGAGCUGCUGCUCAGCGACUUCACCCACAGCAACCAUGAGUUUGAUCAGCGUCUUCAUCUGCACACUGGCCCUCUGCGCUCGAGGAUCCAGAGGUCAGGUGACUGUGACUCAGAGUCCUGCAGUGAAACCUGUUUCUCCAGGAGACACACUCACCAUCAGCUGUAAAACCAGCUCUGCUGUUAAUAAUUACUGUGGUGGAAGCUACGACUGUUUGUCCUGGUAUCAGCAGAAAGCUGGAGAAGCUCCUAAACUCCUGAUCUAUUAUGCUAGCACUAGAGAAUCAGGUAUUCCAGAUCGUUUCAGUGGCAGUGGAUCUGGAUCUGAUUUCACUCUGACCAUCAGUGGAGUCCAGACUGAAGAUGCUGGAGAUUAUUACUGUCAGAGUUAUCAUUAUAUCAGUGGUAGCGAUGUGUUCACACAGUGUUAGAGCGUCGUACAAAAACCUGUGUGAGUGUGACUGCUGCAGCUGGGACCUACUGCAGGUGCUGAGGGGGACGAUGUGAUACAGCACAAUCACACACACACACACUCACACACACACACACACACACUGACACACACACACACACACACAAUCACACACACACACACACACAAUCACACACACACACACUCACACACACACACACACACACUGACACACACACACACACACACAAUCACACACACACACACACACACAAUCACACACACACACACACACACACACAAUCACACACACACACACACACACACACACACACACACACAUGUCCACUGCAGGAUAAAUUUGAUGAAGGUGAAUUUACAGUAAGUUUAUAUUAUUGAGCUGGCUUUGCUGAAUCAUACAGCUGUGUAUCAUCAGCCUAGCAGUGGAAGCUAACAGCAUGUUAAUGGAUCAUUUUACCCAGAGGCAGCAUGUACAGGGAAAAGCAGUGGGUGUAGAACAGAGCUGUCUCAGUACUGUGAUGAGGCCUAAAUACUGACUGAGACAUUUCAUGUAUGUGAUAUAUAAUAUAGUUUGUAUAUUAUGUAAGCCAUAGAAAAUCACUAAUUGGAUGUGACAGGUAUAGGUCAAAGGUCAUAAUCAUUAUAAUUAAAUAUAAUGACAGGUCAAAGGGUCAUCAUAAUCAC
Non-coding RNA from Ictalurus furcatus (blue catfish), 1250 nucleotides. The record is from the annotation of a RefSeq genome assembly. Lineage: Eukaryota; Metazoa; Chordata; Actinopteri; Siluriformes; Ictaluridae.